ACGCUCGACACCUACGGGGCAGCAGUUAGGAAUAUUGGGCAAUGGAGGAAACUCUGACCCAGCAACGCCGCGUGAAGGAAGAAGGUUUUCGGAUUGUAAACUUCUGAUCUAGGGGAAGAAGGAAGUGACGGUACCCUAGGAGAAAGCCACGGCUAACUACGUGCCAACAGCCGCGGUAAUCUGAGCGGGCUGGCAAGGC
Molecule: ribosomal RNA, 199 nt
Filed under: uncultured bacterium
Lineage: Bacteria
Description: partial 16S ribosomal RNA
Rfam family: Bacterial small subunit ribosomal RNA
Source: RNAcentral